Molecule: non-coding RNA, 30 nt
Filed under: Mus musculus (house mouse)
Lineage: Eukaryota; Metazoa; Chordata; Mammalia; Rodentia; Muridae
Source: RNAcentral
UGGUCGCCUUGACCUUACUUUGUGUGAUCA